AAUAGAUACCCCGGUAGUCCUAGCCGUAAACGAUGAGCACUUGAUUGAGGGCCCCCCCAUAGGCUCUCGAUCGCAGCGAAAGUGUUAAGUGCUCCGCCUGGGGAGUAUGGUCGCAAGGCCGAAACUCAAAGGAAUUGACGGGGGCUCACACAAGCGGUGGAGGAUGUGGCUUAAUUCGAGGCUACGCGAAGAACCUUAUCCAGGCCUUGACAUGUACGGAUGCUGCCCGUGAAAGCGGGUUAGUUGCCUUCGGGUGAAACGUGCACAGGUGCUGCAUGGCUGUCGUCAGCUCGUGUCGUGAGAUGUCGGGUUAAGUCCCUUAACGAGCGAAACCCUUGUCCUUAGUUGCCAGCGAGUCAUGUCGGGGACUCUAAGGAGACUGCCGGCGUUAAGCCGGAGGAAGGUGGGGAUGACGUCAAGUCCUCAUGGCCUUUAUGGUCUGGGCUGCACACGUCCUACAAUGGCGUAUACAAAGGGAUGCUACCUCGCGAGAGCAAGCAAAUCCCAAAAAGUACGCCCCAGUUCGGAUUGCG
This 533-nucleotide ribosomal RNA is filed under the name uncultured bacterium. RNAcentral describes it as "bacterial SSU rRNA". It matches the Rfam family "Bacterial small subunit ribosomal RNA", at positions 777 to 1302 of the family's 1533-position model. The record is from RNAcentral.